RNAcentral lists this unclassified non-coding RNA (550 nucleotides) under Haliotis rubra (blacklip abalone). RNAcentral's name for it is "melanopsin-like, transcript variant X7". The record is from RNAcentral. Lineage: Eukaryota; Metazoa; Mollusca; Gastropoda; Lepetellida; Haliotidae.
CUCCCUUCUCCAUACCACAUUGGAAUGUGCGUCUAGUCACCACGCCCGACCUGCCAGGUGUUUGGGUGGCGAACUACGAGCUGGCGUGUGUAGUAGAAAGGCCGCGGGCUGCAACCGCGUGUCAUUCAUGAAUGAGUGCAGCCGCUGAUGCUGUCUACUAUGCAAGCGUCUGUGUAUUUUCUCGGCAGCUGGGAGCGGGGCAGCUACUUCUCGUCAAGUUGUUCAGUGAUUUUGUGUUGAACACCAGUGACAGUUUCAGUUUUGUAUUACCUCUUAACUGGAUCUAUCCCGGAUUCUAUCACUGCAGACACCUCAUCACUGUCGACCUCAACGUCGGGAGAAUCACUCUCUUAAACCGUUGCUCUAGAUUUAAGACACCACUGCAAACAGCCAGCUUUUAGGACUUUGUGGUCAGACUAUGUCAACAGUGCGGGGACACUCCCAUGUGUAAACCACGUGACCCUUAGCGCGCACCGACCAAGGAAGUUGUCGUUUAGCGUUCAGGAAAUCGACAAGACCAUUCCUAGAAAUAAAAAAUAUCCUUGGUAAA